CACACGGAUCCAAAUGCGUCUGGACACCUUGGCGACACACUCGCGCAGAUGGGGUAACUGAAGCUUACAGAACAGCAAUUUGACCCCUGCAGUCACACAGCUACGAGCAGGGCCAAGAUCUGCACCCGGGCAGGCGGAGCUCAGAGACAGCACACGCCUCCAUCACUUUGCUGAUCAACAUGGAAGACACAGGAGGCGUCUAAAGUAUGGAAUUUUCUACUGCUGUAAGGAACUUGGGGGCAAGGAUCAUGCCUUACUCAUCAUUGUUUCCCUAGUGCCUGGCAUGUGGAGAGUGCUCAAUAACAAUUUUUGAGUGAAUAAAUCUACAUACAUCAAACAAUAAACAAGGAAAGACCAUGUGAAGCCACAGUGAGAAGGUAGCCACCUGCCAGCAAGGAAGUGAGCUCUCACCAGAAACUGAGCACUGUCAGAAACUCGAUCUUGGGCUUCCAGCCUCCAGAACUGUGAG
Molecule: long non-coding RNA, 469 nt
Filed under: Equus caballus (horse)
Lineage: Eukaryota; Metazoa; Chordata; Mammalia; Perissodactyla; Equidae
Description: lncRNA (ENSECAG00000059517.1)
Source: RNAcentral